AGCGCUCCCAGAUUUGGAUUUGCCAGCUGAAAUGUGAAGGUGACAUGGAGCAGAGGGGUGAUGAACAGCCCAACAAACCAGGGGUGAAGGCAGCAUCUUUCCCUGCACGGCCCUUCCCAUAACAGGCUUCUGGGAGGAACAUAAAGGCACUUCCAGAGAUGCACUCUGGUGUGCCACACAUUUAGCUCUGUCUGCUGGAGAAAUAAAAAAGGUCAAAUGAAGGUUGUGUGGUGCAAUGAAUUUGCUGGGGUGUGAUAAACUGCAGCCAUGUGAGAUCCCAUCCUGAUAAUUCCUGCAUCUCUAAAUGGAAUGCUGCAGGAUGUGUCUUCUGAGGAGUCAGAAGUGUUUCAGUGCAUCCCCAUUUCAGGGCAGCUGCACCCACCACAUUCAGGUGUUUGAACUUGGGGAAUCCAGGGGCUCUGCUACCAUAAAAGAGACAUCUGUGUGCUCCUCUUCACUGCUUCUUGGGGACCCAGUCUCAAUUAAGACUAUGAGAAGACCUCAUAAGAACAUGGAAGAAGGCACUGCUUUCCUCAGAAUGAUUAGGAUUUGGCAUGGGGAACACCUCACAGGGUCAUCAGUGGCUUUUCAAGGACCAAGCUGAUGGGACAGCUUCCCCAGGGACUGAGAGAGAUGUCAGCCCCUUCUGCCUGAGCUGUGGGAGACAGGGACUGGAUGUGCAGAGAUAACCAGGGCAAACAAAAUCCUUUGAAUUGGAAGAACAAAGAGGCUUCUCUGCACUUGCAGUAUUAGGCAGGUGAUUACACAACCAGGAACUGAAGUUGUAACAACUUUGGCUGGAAAAUGACCACGUUUGGAACAUGCAAACAACAACUGGAUUUCAUGGAGCUCUGAGUGCAUCUUUAUAGCCAUCAGUGAGUAAAACACACUUGACAUUUCCAGUCGUGCCACUUCAGUGUCACCACUAGAAAUCCAUUCUUUUUCUUACUCUGAGAGGGCUGUAUGCCAUAAGAUCCUUUUGUCCCUCCUGAUUCCCCUCACAAGAUGGGAAUGUGAGCUAAUGCUUGGAAGGAGUGCUGUGACUUUUCAGUAGGAAAGCAGCAGAACUGAACAUAAAACCUGGCCCUGUUGUUGGAAAUGUGGGUAGAAAUGUGACUGGCACCUGGAUGAUAUUUACUGAGUGCCUGUAGCACAGAGGCCCUGCAGGGCUGUAGAGAAUGUCCUGUUUUCACCUUCUUGCUCAUUUUUCUUUGUGAAGCUGAGGUCCAGCACAGCUCUUGCUAUUAAUAAAAAUUAGGGCUGUUACUGAUGGAGGUUUGUU
This 1282-nucleotide long non-coding RNA is filed under the name Cyanistes caeruleus (blue tit). Its description in RNAcentral is "lncRNA (ENSCCEG00000010695.1)". The record is from RNAcentral. Lineage: Eukaryota; Metazoa; Chordata; Aves; Passeriformes; Paridae.